AGUCGAGGGAGAAACCGCAGGUGAGUACACCGGCGAACGGGUGCAUAACACGUGGGCAACCUACCUCAACGACCGGGACAACUGGGCGAAAGCCUUGCUGAUACCGGAUAAGCCCACACUUUCUACGGGAAGAGAGGGAAAAGUCGGCCUCUGUACACAAGCUGACACGAUGAGAUGGGUCCGCAGCCCAUCAGCUAGUUGGCGGGGUAACGGCCCACCAAGGCAACGACGGGUAGCUGGUCUGAAAGGAUGAUCAGCCACACUGGAACUGAGACACGGUCCAGACUCCUACGGGAGGCAGCAGUGGGGAAUCUUGCGCAAUGGGCGAAAGCCUGACGCACCAACGCCGCGUGUGUGAUGAAGGUCUUCGGAUCGUAAAGCACUGUCACGAGGGACGAGAAGCAUUGGGUGAACAAUCCAGUGAUAGGACGGUACCUCGAGAGGAAGCACCGGCUAACUCCGUGCCAGCAGCCGCGGUAAUACAGAGGGUGCGAGCGUUGUUCGGAAUUAUUGGGCGUAAAGCGCUUGUAGGCGGCACGAUAAGUCUACUGUGAAAGCCCUCGGCUCAACCGAGGAAGAGCAGUAGAUACUGUCGAGCUUGAAUGCCGGAGAGGGUCGCGGAAUUCCCGGUGUAGAGGUGAAAUUCGUAGAUAUCGGGAGGAACACCAGUGGCGAAGGCGGCGACCUGGACGGACAUUGACGCUGAGACGCGAAAGCGUGGGGAGCAAACAGGAUUAGAUACCCUGGUAGUCCACGCUGUAAACGAUGGGUGCUAGGUGUGGCGGGUGUUGACCCCUGCCGUGCCGCAGCUAACGCAAUAAGCACCCCGCCUGGGAAGUACGGCCGCAAGGCUAAAACUCAAAGGAAUUGACGGGGGCCCGC
This 882-nucleotide ribosomal RNA is filed under the name uncultured bacterium. RNAcentral describes it as "bacterial SSU rRNA". It matches the Rfam family "Bacterial small subunit ribosomal RNA", at positions 60 to 924 of the family's 1533-position model. The record is from RNAcentral.